Molecule: long non-coding RNA, 594 nt
Organism: Notolabrus celidotus (New Zealand spotty)
Lineage: Eukaryota; Metazoa; Chordata; Actinopteri; Labriformes; Labridae
Exons: 4
Source: RefSeq, a predicted model, not a curated record
AGGAGCUGGGUUGGUGUAAAGGCGGCAGGUUUGGACCAUAGACUCUAAAACAUGGACUAGAGGGGGCGUUUUGAAGCUCAACGAUGGCGGUCACCAAACUGUAAAUGCAGGCUCAACCCAACUUUCAGUAAACCUGGAAACAGGCAAAGAGCUGGAGUCUGUCAGCCCAGAUGUACCCCUGGAUAUGCAGAAUGUUGUCUAAUCAGCUUAUAUAUGCAGUGCUGCCACCUAUAGGACUGGAGUGGAACAAGGAGAGGAUGCAGCUAUAAUGCAGAGCAUAAGAUUGGGCACUCGUGACCUUUAUUGGAGCCGAUAGCAGCCGGCAUGGAUACCAGGGAGCUCAUGUUGGCACAACAAUGGGUAGUAGUGCAGCUAGAUUACAGAUCUACGUGAUAACAGCUCUGCUCAGGACUGCUGACCAGAUGAAGCAGCGCUCAUAACGGUUGCAAACAGAAGUCGUCACCAAGCAGCAACCUCCAGUGAGCAAGAAACUGCAGUUCUUCGAGUGUCCACUUGAGGCUGGCUCCAAAAGCCAAAGAAACCCCAUCAGAGCCCAUAUCCAAACGUCCAUCUGCUGAAUUAAACAUGUUUAUA